This 520-nucleotide unclassified non-coding RNA is filed under the name uncultured Glomus. Its description in RNAcentral is "SSU rRNA". It matches the Rfam family "Eukaryotic small subunit ribosomal RNA", at positions 569 to 1092 of the family's 1831-position model. The record is from RNAcentral. Lineage: Eukaryota; Fungi; Glomeromycota; Glomeromycetes; Glomerales; Glomeraceae.
AGCAGCCGCGGUAAUUCCAGCUCCAAUAGCGUAUAUUAAAGUUGUUGCAGUUAAAAAGCUCGUAGUUGAAUUUCGGGAUCAGUUGGUCGGUCGUGCCUCGGUACGUACUGGUCAAAUUGAUUCCUACCUUCUGACGAACCACGAUGUCAUUAAUUUGGUGUCGUGGGGAAUCAGGACUGUUACUUUGAAAAAUUAGAGUGUUUAAAGCAGGCUCGCGCUUGAAUACAUUAGCAUGGAAUAAUGAAAUAGGACGUUUGAUUCUAUUUUGUUGGUUUCUAGGAUCGACGUAAUGAUUAAUAGGGAUAGUUGGGGGCAUUAGUAUUCAAUUGUCAGAGGUGAAAUUCUUGGAUUUAUUGAAGACUAACUACUGCGAAAGCAUUUGCCAAGGAUGUUUUCAUUAAUCAAGAACGAAAGUUAGGGGAUCGAAGACGAUCAGAUACCGUCGUAGUCUUAACCAUAAACUAUAGCCGACUAGGGAUCGGAUGAUGUUAAUUUUUAAUGACUCAUUCGGCGCCUUAAC